RNAcentral lists this ribosomal RNA (425 nucleotides) under uncultured bacterium. RNAcentral's name for it is "bacterial SSU rRNA". It matches the Rfam family "Bacterial small subunit ribosomal RNA", at positions 356 to 773 of the family's 1533-position model. The record is from RNAcentral.
GGGGAAUUUUGGACAAUGGGCGCAAGCCUGAUCCAGCCAUGCCGCGUGCAGGAUGAAGGCCUUCGGGUUGUAAACUGCUUUUGUACGGAACGGAAAGGUUACUUUUAAUACAGGGAACUGAUGACGGUACCGUAAGAAUAAGCACCGGCUAACUACGUGCCAGCAGCCGCGGUAAUACGUAGGGUGCGAGCGUUAAUCGGAAUUACUGGGCGUAAAGCGUGCGCAGGCGGUGAUGUAAGACAGAGGUGAAAUCCCCGGGCUCAACCUGGGAACUGCCUUUGUGACUGCAUCGCUGGAGUGCGGCAGAGGGGGAUGGAAUUCCGCGUGUAGCAGUGAAAUGCGUAGAUAUGCGGAGGAACACCGAUGGCGAAGGCAAUCCCCUGGGCCUGCACUGACGCUCAUGCACGAAAGCGUGGGGAGCAAAC